GAAUUGAAGAGUUUGAUCAUGGCUCAGAUUGAACGCUGGCGGCAGGCUUAACACAUGCAAGUCGAACGGUAGCAGGAAGAAAGCUUGCUUUCUUUGCUGACGAGUGGCGGACGGGUGAGUAAUGCUUGGGAAUCUGGCUUAUGGAGGGGGAUAACUGUGGGAAACUGCAGCUAAUACCGCGUAAUCUCUGAGGAGUAAAGGGUGGGACCUCUUGGCCACCUGCCAUAAGAUGAGCCCAAGUGGGAUUAGGUAGUUGGUGGGGUAAAGGCCUACCAAGCCUGCGAUCUCUAGCUGGUCUGAGAGGAUGACCAGCCACACUGGAACUGAGACACGGUCCAGACUCCUACGGGAGGCAGCAGUGGGGAAUAUUGCGCAAUGGGGGGAACCCUGACGCAGCCAUGCCGCGUGAAUGAAGAAGGCCUUCGGGUUGUAAAGUUCUUUCGG
This 444-nucleotide ribosomal RNA is filed under the name Pasteurella multocida. RNAcentral's name for it is "bacterial SSU rRNA". It matches the Rfam family "Bacterial small subunit ribosomal RNA", at positions 1 to 439 of the family's 1533-position model. The record is from RNAcentral. Lineage: Bacteria; Pseudomonadati; Pseudomonadota; Gammaproteobacteria; Pasteurellales; Pasteurellaceae.